AUUGAACGCUGGCGGCAGGCCUAACACAUGCAAGUCGAACGAGUGGCGGACGGGUGAGUAAUGUCUGUGAAACUGCCUGAUGGAGGGGGAUAACUACUGGAACCGGUAGCUAAUCCCGCAUACCAUCGGAUUUGCCCAGAUGGGCUUAGCUAUUAGGUGGGGUAAAGGCUCACCUAGGCCACGGUCCCUAGCUGGUCUGAGAGGAUGACGAGCCACACUGGAACUGAGACACGGUCCAACCUCCUACGGGAGGCAGCGGUGGGGAAUAUUGCACAAUGGGCGCAAGCCGGAUGAAGCCAUGCCGCGUGGAUGAAGAAGUCCUUCGGGUUGUAAAGUACUUUCAGCGGGGAGGCGUUACCCGCAGAAGAAGCACCGGCUAACUCCGUGCCAGCAGCCGCGGUAAUUC
This 406-nucleotide ribosomal RNA is filed under the name uncultured bacterium. RNAcentral describes it as "partial 16S ribosomal RNA". It matches the Rfam family "Bacterial small subunit ribosomal RNA", at positions 30 to 526 of the family's 1533-position model. The record is from RNAcentral.